Molecule: transfer RNA, 76 nt
Filed under: Spirochaetes bacterium GWB1_36_13
Lineage: Bacteria; Pseudomonadati; Spirochaetota
Description: tRNA-His
Rfam family: tRNA
About the family: Transfer RNA (tRNA) molecules are approximately 80 nucleotides in length.
Source: RNAcentral
GUGGGUGUAGCUCAGUUGGUUAGAGCAUCAGUUUGUGGAGUUGAGGGCCGUGGGUUCAAAUCCCAUUACCCACCCA